GAUGAACGCUGGCGGCGUGCCUAAUACAUGCAAGUCGAGCGAACAGACGAGGAGCUUGCUCCUCUGACGUUAGCGGCGGACGGGUGAGUAACACGUGGAUAACCUACCUAUAAGACUGGGAUAACUUCGGGAAACCGGAGCUAAUACCGGAUAAUAUAUUGAACCGCAUGGUUCAAUAGUGAAAGACGGUUUUGCUGUCACUUAUAGAUGGAUCCGCGCCGCAUUAGCUAGUUGGUAAGGUAACGGCUUACCAAGGCAACGAUGCGUAGCCGACCGGAGAGGGUGAUCGGCCACACUGGAACUGAGACACGGUCCAGACUCCUACGGGAGGCAGCAGUAGGGAAUCUUCCGCAAUGGGCGAAAGCCUGACGGAGCAACGCCGCGUGAGUGAUGAAGGUCUUCGGAUCGUAAAACUCUGUUAUUAGGGAAGAACUAAUGUGUAAGUAACUAUGCACGUCUUGACGGUACCUAAUCAGAAAGCCACGGCUAACUACGUG
RNAcentral lists this ribosomal RNA (497 nucleotides) under uncultured bacterium. RNAcentral describes it as "partial 16S ribosomal RNA". It matches the Rfam family "Bacterial small subunit ribosomal RNA", at positions 28 to 507 of the family's 1533-position model. The record is from RNAcentral.